CUCGAAGGGGGUGUCCCUCAGCCCGGAUUGCGAGAGGGCGCAGGCAAGGCCGAGGGACCCCACCCGUGCACU
Myotis lucifugus (little brown bat) is the source of this 72-nucleotide non-coding RNA. The record is from Rfam. NCBI's taxonomy places the organism in Eukaryota, Metazoa, Chordata, Mammalia, Chiroptera, Vespertilionidae.